AAUAAUUAGUAGUAUAAUAUAUUUUGUUACACGAAGUAAGAUGAGCUAAGAGAAUUUAUAUAUUAGUAUUUAGUGUUAUAUGUAGCAGUAUAUAGUUAUUAUUUUCUUUUAGGGGUGAUAUACCUGUCAAAUUUUACGAUAACUUGAUAUAUAGGAAAAAUAUUAAGUAUUUAAUCAAUUUAAAAAUGCUAAGGUUUUUAAAUAAUAUAAUAUUUCAUUUGCAAUUAGCAUAUUAUUUAACUGUAUAUGCUUAUAUACUAAAUAAUUAUACUGAGGUAUUAUAUAUUUAGUACUAUAUUAUAGUGUUAAUUAAAUUAAUUAUUAAUAAUGUUAUUAUUAGUAUUUAAAUAGAUUUUGUUAAGGAACUCGGCAAAGCUAUUGUUCAACUGUUUACCAAAAACAUUGCUUUGUGUAAGUAUUCGAAGUUAACCCUGCUCAAUGGUAUACUAAAUAGCCGCAGUACUUUGACUGUGCAAAGGUAGCAUAAUCAUUUGGCUUAUAAUUGAAGUCUGGCAUGAAUGGGUAACUGGAUAAUAACUAUCUUUCCAUAAUUAAUUGAAUUUACUUAUUAAGUGAAAAUUCUUAUAAAGAAACAAUAGACGAGAAGACCCUAGAAAUUUUAUAUAUAUAUAUUAAGAUAAUCUAUUUUGUUGGGGCGACAAGGUAGCAAUGAACCUACCUAAGAUUUAUAGAAAGUUGUUGAACAAUAUAAUUAAAUUACUCUAGGGAUAACAGCAUAAUACACAAGAGUUUGUGACCUCGAUGUUGGACUAGGUAAAUUAAUGUUUAGAAGAUAUUAAUUUAAGCUCUGUUCGAGCUAAUAUACCUACGUGAUCUGAGUUCAGACCGG
RNAcentral lists this ribosomal RNA (850 nucleotides) under Leptaxis groviana groviana. Its description in RNAcentral is "partial 16S ribosomal RNA". The record is from RNAcentral. Lineage: Eukaryota; Metazoa; Mollusca; Gastropoda; Stylommatophora; Hygromiidae.